This 488-nucleotide long non-coding RNA is filed under the name Anser brachyrhynchus (Pink-footed goose). RNAcentral describes it as "lncRNA (ENSABRG00000022898.1)". Lineage: Eukaryota; Metazoa; Chordata; Aves; Anseriformes; Anatidae. The record is from RNAcentral.
GGGGGGUCCCGGUGCCGGGGGUCCCGGUGCCGGUGCCCAGGCAGCGCGUCCCGCAGCGUGGCAGAGCCCCUACCUGAACGUCUUCAAGCACUUCCGCGUGGAGGAGUGGAAGCGCUCCGCCAAGGAGGGGGACGUCACCGCCUGCCUGGACAAGAGGCUGAAGGGGACGGUGUACCGCAUCCGGGGCUCCAUCCCCGCCUGCAACUACCUGCAGCUGCCCCGCACCGGCACGCAGUCGCUGGGGCUGCGGGGCCGCUACCUCUACCUGCUCUUCAGGCCCCUGCCCCGCAAGCACUUCGUGGUGCACCUGGAUGUGGCCACCCAGGAGAACCAGGUGGUGCGCAUCUCCUUCUCCAACCUCUUCAGGGAGUUCAAAUCCACAGCCACGUGGCUCCAGUUCCCCUUCGUAUGCGCAGCAGCCAAAGGCUCGCUGGACGAGAGCACAGCCAGAGCUUCCAGGCAAGAUCUGGUGGGGGCAGCCCCUGCCA